GCGUUCGAGGUUAACUCCCAACCCAUGUGACAUACCUACUGUUGCUUCGGCGGGAUUGCCCCGGGCGCCUCGUGUGCCCCGGAUCAGGCGCCCGCCUAGGAAACUUAACUCUUGUUUUAUUUUGGAAUCUUCUGAGUAGUUUUUACAAAUAAAUAAAAACUUUCAACAACGGAUCUCUUGGUUCUGGCAUCGAUGAAGAACGCAGCGAAAUGCGAUAAGUAAUGUGAAUUGCAGAAUUCAGUGAAUCAUCGAAUCUUUGAACGCACAUUGCGCCCGCCAGUAUUCUGGCGGGCAUGCCUGUCUGAGCGUCAUUUCAACCCUCAUGCCCCUAGGGCGUGGUGUUGGGGAUCGGCCAAAGCCCGCGAGGGACGGCCGGCCCCUAAAUCUAGUGGCGGACCCGUCGUGGCCUCCUCUGCGAAGUAGUGAUAUUCCGCAUCGGAGAGCGACGAGCCCCUGCCGUUAAACCCCCAACUUUCCAAGGUUGACCUCAGAUCAGGUAGGAAUACCCGCUGAACUUAAGCAUAUCAAUAGGGCGGAGGA
This 540-nucleotide ribosomal RNA is filed under the name Clonostachys rosea. RNAcentral describes it as "eukaryotic LSU rRNA". The stretch from base 158 to 311 matches the Rfam family "5.8S ribosomal RNA". Lineage: Eukaryota; Fungi; Ascomycota; Sordariomycetes; Hypocreales; Bionectriaceae. The record is from RNAcentral.